AGUUCGUAAGUUUCAAAAUUUUUAAGACUCAAAUUUCUAAAACUUCGAAAUUGUAAAGUCCCGAAAUUCUAAUAUGAUAGCUAAAAGCCGUUAAUACAACGAAGUUAACCGAGAAUAACGAGUAUGUUUUUAUAUCGAUUAAAAAAAUUCCUUAUUUACCUUCUCGCCAUGUUUACCAAUAUUGUAAUAUCCUUUCGACCUGAAACCGAGCAUAAUUAAGACGAAUAUAAUUUAAUUUUUGUUAGCAAAUAAUUAAAUAAAUUCUGGAAAAAUUAUACACGAAGAAGAAAACUUAAUCUGGUUAUUUCGUGACAAAUCAAUAUUUGACUUGCAUAGUUUAUGUUUGUGGGGGAAGAAAACGAUAGUAUGUUUACACUCGCCUUUAUUUUUCUUUCAUUUUUGCCGGGAGAGCGAUCCAUGUGCUAGAAACGCAUCGGUCUGUCGUCUGGCAAGACGUUUCUGACAGUACCUCUUCUCUUUAAAAUAAGUCACUUCGUAACACCUUGAAUUUGUAUUACAUUUUCUGUUGUUUUUUUUAUGAAUCUUCGGAAGUGUAACCACAAUAUUCUAGGAUUUAGGAUAAUUGUGUAAUAUAUUGCGUUUCAAAGGACGUGUUCGGGAUUCCAUUGUUUGGAAAUAUAAGAUAUCGAAGAUUCGAUCAAGAAAGAAAUACGACAAUAAAGAGUAUUUCAAAGGAAUAAAAGUUUAAAUGAAUUUGGAUACAAAACCUGGCAAAAUGAAUUCCGUGAGAAUUGGAAAAGGAAGAGGAAGAGGGACAGUCCAUAGUAAGAUACCGCCUGAUAAAUGCCUAUGUUAUAGGCCGCACUGUUUUGUAUUAUGCAAUGUUUGUGGAUUUUGGACAAAAGGCAGAGUACGUUAUUUUUGCCCUAUUCAUCCACAGACAGUUUUCUUGUUUGAUAUUACGCA
Molecule: long non-coding RNA, 927 nt
Organism: Megachile rotundata (alfalfa leafcutting bee)
Lineage: Eukaryota; Metazoa; Arthropoda; Insecta; Hymenoptera; Megachilidae
Source: RefSeq, a predicted model, not a curated record